AUAUAUAUAUAUAUAAACAUAUAUAUGGUGAAAACACUGGGUUUGAAAGUACAGUGAAAACAGCUACUGCAAUUGCUCAAUAUCCUCAAGUUUAAAAAAUCAUAUAGGAAAACAACUAAAUAAAGGAAGGGUGAUUAUUGCAGUUUCGUGGGGAAAAAAAGAGAAAAAGCUGCUUUUCAAAAUUAACCAAAGAAAUGAAAGGAAACAAAGAUCAUUCAGGAUCUUUAAAGAUUUUAGCCAGUGGUAUGGAACUUAGUAAUACAAGCUCACUUUUACAAUACCCCCAACAAAUAUUUUGCAUUUUAGCUAUAAUGUCUUCACAGAAAGAAAUCAACCAAUAAAGAAAAGGCAUGGUUAGUAAAAUAAUCUAAAAAUAGUCAUGUAAGUUAUUUUUAUGCCCUCAUUCAGCAAAACCUUUGUGAUAAACUCAUCAAAGGAAUUACUAAAAAAUUUAUUAGCCUGUCAAUUCCAGCCAAGAAGGAAUAUGUUCAGUAUGGUCCCUCCCCAAUGAUGACAAUAAAAACUCUGGACAAAAUCCAAUAAGCAACUACUUGAGGACUAAAAGUAAACAAAAGCAAGUAUAUUGCAGAAGGAAGACAAAACUCGGAGAAGCUAACUUUAAGGGGGUACAUUUCCCAUCCCCCCCAACCCCUUUUCUCUUGCAAUGUUUCCUUAAGAAUGGACCUCUAGUCAUGAGAUUCGCAGCAAUAGCAGAGCCAGUGGCAAUUACUCCUAUACAAACCCUAUAUUUUUGGCUACAAAGAAUCAGGAUAGAGGCUCCUGCCGUUCAAAGAGUAGUAAGAAGGGAAUCCCUGUAUUAUUUCCUCUUUCUUUUUUCCCACAGUUCUGACCUGAGAGUGGGCCCCAGGUACGAAACUGCAGCUGUAAAGGUGCCACAGGCAGCCAAACUUGGAAACAAUCAAGAUGUCUUUCAAAAGGUUCAUUUAAGGAUUAGGUGAAGAAACAGUGGACCACACAAGAAUGUUCUGAGAUAUGAGAACUAUAAGAAAUCAAAGGGACGAGAGAAGUUCCAGAUGAAACAUAAUCAAGGAGUUCCUGCCAUCUGGAGGACAUCCCAACAUUACAAUGAGAAAGCAAUCAGCAGUUCCUCCAGGACAAGGGAGUCUGUUUCUCACACUUGUGAACUUCACACCAGACUAAUAAUCACAGAAACCCGAAAGUUUUGUCAGCCUACAAAAGGUUAAAACAAAUGACUGUUCAUUAACAAUAAACAGCUGAUAAAAAUUUUAAGCUUGGCGCUUAUAAAAGUUUUUUUCCAAAAGGAAAAUGUUAAAUGAUUACAAAUUAGCAAGUUUUCCUUUUUUGUUACAGUGUAUGGUUUUG
Long non-coding RNA from Physeter macrocephalus (sperm whale), 1344 nucleotides. RefSeq lists it as uncharacterized. The record is from RefSeq and is a predicted model, not a curated record. Lineage: Eukaryota; Metazoa; Chordata; Mammalia; Artiodactyla; Physeteridae. The transcript is spliced from 3 exons.